RNAcentral lists this ribosomal RNA (253 nucleotides) under uncultured bacterium. Its description in RNAcentral is "partial 16S ribosomal RNA". It matches the Rfam family "Bacterial small subunit ribosomal RNA", at positions 524 to 776 of the family's 1533-position model. The record is from RNAcentral.
UACGUAGGGUGCGAGCGUUAAUCGGAAUUACUGGGCGUAAAGCGUGCGCAGGCGGUUUUGUAAGCCAGAUGUGAAAGCCCCAGGCUUAACCUGGGAAUUGCAUUGAGGACUGGUGUGCUCGAGUGCGGCAGAGGGGGGUGGAAUUCCACGUGUAGCAGUGAAAUGCGUAGAGAUGUGGAGGAACACCGAUGGCGAAGGCAGCCCCCUGGGCCGACACUGACGCUCAUGCACGAAAGCGUGGGGAGCAAACAGG